ACGAAGGGUGCAAGCGUUACUCGGAAUUACUGGGCGUAAAGCGUGCGUAGGUGGUUUGUUAAGUCUGAUGUGAAAGCCCUGGGCUCAACCUGGGAACGGCAUUGGAUACUGGCUUACUAGAGUGCGGUAGAGGGUAGUGGAAUUCCCGGUGUAGCGGUGGAAUGCGUAGAGAUCGGGAAGAACAACAGUGGCGAAGGCGGCCCCCUGGACCGGUACUGACGCUGAGGCGCGAAAGCGUGGGUAGCAAACGGGA
RNAcentral lists this ribosomal RNA (253 nucleotides) under uncultured prokaryote. RNAcentral's name for it is "partial 16S ribosomal RNA". It matches the Rfam family "Bacterial small subunit ribosomal RNA", at positions 525 to 777 of the family's 1533-position model. The record is from RNAcentral.